This 1530-nucleotide ribosomal RNA is filed under the name Klebsiella aerogenes. RNAcentral describes it as "bacterial SSU rRNA". It matches the Rfam family "Bacterial small subunit ribosomal RNA". The record is from RNAcentral. Lineage: Bacteria; Pseudomonadati; Pseudomonadota; Gammaproteobacteria; Enterobacterales; Enterobacteriaceae.
AAAUUGAAGAGUUUGAUCAUGGCUCAGAUUGAACGCUGGCGGCAGGCCUAACACAUGCAAGUCGAGCGGUAGCACAGAGAGCUUGCUCUCGGGUGACGAGCGGCGGACGGGUGAGUAAUGUCUGGGAAACUGCCUGAUGGAGGGGGAUAACUACUGGAAACGGUAGCUAAUACCGCAUAACGUCGCAAGACCAAAGUGGGGGACCUUCGGGCCUCAUGCCAUCAGAUGUGCCCAGAUGGGAUUAGCUAGUAGGUGGGGUAAUGGCUCACCUAGGCGACGAUCCCUAGCUGGUCUGAGAGGAUGACCAGCCACACUGGAACUGAGACACGGUCCAGACUCCUACGGGAGGCAGCAGUGGGGAAUAUUGCACAAUGGGCGCAAGCCUGAUGCAGCCAUGCCGCGUGUAUGAAGAAGGCCUUCGGGUUGUAAAGUACUUUCAGCGAGGAGGAAGGCNGAUUGACGUUACUCGCAGAAGAAGCACCGGCUAACUCCGUGCCAGCAGCCGCGGUAAUACGGAGGGUGCAAGCGUUAAUCGGAAUUACUGGGCGUAAAGCGCACGCAGGCGGUCUGUCAAGUCGGAUGUGAAAUCCCCGGGCUCAACCUGGGAACUGCAUUCGAAACUGGCAGGCUAGAGUCUUGUAGAGGGGGGUAGAAUUCCAGGUGUAGCGGUGAAAUGCGUAGAGAUCUGGAGGAAUACCGGUGGCGAAGGCGGCCCCCUGGACAAAGACUGACGCUCAGGUGCGAAAGCGUGGGGAGCAAACAGGAUUAGAUACCCUGGUAGUCCACGCCGUAAACGAUGUCGACUUGGAGGUUGUGCCCUUGAGGCGUGGCUUCCGGAGCUAACGCGUUAAGUCGACCGCCUGGGGAGUACGGCCGCAAGGUUAAAACUCAAAUGAAUUGACGGGGGCCCGCACAAGCGGUGGAGCAUGUGGUUUAAUUCGAUGCAACGCGAAGAACCUUACCUACUCUUGACAUCCAGAGAACUUAGCAGAGAUGCUUUGGUGCCUUCGGGAACUCUGAGACAGGUGCUGCAUGGCUGUCGUCAGCUCGUGUUGUGAAAUGUUGGGUUAAGUCCCGCAACGAGCGCAACCCUUAUCCUUUGUUGCCAGCGGUCCGGCCGGGAACUCAAAGGAGACUGCCAGUGAUAAACUGGAGGAAGGUGGGGAUGACGUCAAGUCAUCAUGGCCCUUACGAGUAGGGCUACACACGUGCUACAAUGGCAUAUACAAAGAGAAGCGACCUCGCGAGAGCAAGCGGACCUCAUAAAGUAUGUCGUAGUCCGGAUUGGAGUCUGCAACUCGACUCCAUGAAGUCGGAAUCGCUAGUAAUCGUAGAUCAGAAUGCUACGGUGAAUACGUUCCCGGGCCUUGUACACACCGCCCGUCACACCAUGGGAGUGGGUUGCAAAAGAAGUAGGUAGCUUAACCUUCGGGAGGGCGCUUACCACUUUGUGAUUCAUGACUGGGGUGAAGUCGUAACAAGGUAACCGUAGGGGAACCUGCGGUUGGAUCACCUCCUUACCUUAAAGAA